This 22-nucleotide microRNA is filed under the name Heliconius melpomene (postman butterfly). RNAcentral's name for it is "hme-miR-6305-3p". The record is from miRBase by way of RNAcentral. Lineage: Eukaryota; Metazoa; Arthropoda; Insecta; Lepidoptera; Nymphalidae.
UGUGAGAAAUUCUAGCAGAUGA